This 503-nucleotide ribosomal RNA is filed under the name uncultured Chloroflexota bacterium. RNAcentral describes it as "bacterial SSU rRNA". It matches the Rfam family "Bacterial small subunit ribosomal RNA", at positions 879 to 1395 of the family's 1533-position model. The record is from RNAcentral. Lineage: Bacteria; Bacillati; Chloroflexota.
AGUGCGGCCGCAAGGCUAAAACUCAAAGGAAUUGACGGGGACCCGCACAAGCAGCGGAGCGUGUGGUUUAAUUCGAGGCUACGCGAAGAACCUUACCAGGGUUUGACAUGCUGGUGGUAGUGAAACGAAAGUGGAACGACCCUUCGGGGAGCCAGCACAGGUGCUGCAUGGCUGUCGUCAGCUCGUGCCGUGAGGUGUUAGGUUAAGCCCUGUAACGAGCGCAACCCUCGUCGUUAGUUAUAUGUGUCUAACGAGACUGCCGGUGAUAAGCCGGAGGAAGGUGGGGAUGACGUCAAGUCAGCAUGGCCUUUAUAUCCUGGGCUACACACACGCUACAAUGGCCGGUACAAUGGGCAGCGAAACCGCGAGGUGGAGCCAAUCCUCUAAAGCCGGUCUCAGUUCGGAUUGCAGGCUGCAACUCGCCUGCAUGAAGUCGGAGUUGCUAGUAAACGUGCGUCAGCACAGCGCGUUGAAUACGUUCCCGGGUCUUGCACACACCGCCC